This 11871-nucleotide long non-coding RNA is filed under the name Homo sapiens (human). RNAcentral's name for it is "non-protein coding LINC00938:6". Lineage: Eukaryota; Metazoa; Chordata; Mammalia; Primates; Hominidae. The record is from RNAcentral.
AGACUAGGGGUGAGGCUGCUGCGAGGAAGACCCGGUCAGCUGUCCCUUCCCCCAUCGGUCCUCUUAGGGGAAGUGGAGAUGUGGGCCUCGGAGCUGCGUGGCCCGGGCUGUGCGGAUUCCCUAAACGCCGCACUUGCGCACAGCCCCUUACGUAACCGUCAGUGCCGGGGAUUCCCUGGAGGGGGUCAUUCUAUUCAACCAUUAUACACACCCCGGGCUCCUGCCGCCGCGCCGCCGCCGCCUCACAAAAUGGCGGCGCCCAUAGAGGAGACCGCGGCCGCCUCCCCGGCCCCAUUUUGUGGGAGGCGAGAGAUCUGUCAACAUGGAAAACCUCUGCUGAGGAUGCAUCCGAGUUUGGAAACCCCACUUAAGGGAUGGAGCCUGGGGGAUCACAUUAAACGGAAAAUGCCAACGACUUCUACCACCUCUACGCGUUUUUAGUUUUUCAUUUUCUCGAAGGAAGCGCCAGAAGCCUGUGGAGUAAUUGUAACUAGAGGGAGAACGGAAAGCUGAGGUGACUGCUCCGGGGACUUGGCGCGGCGCCUUGGUGGCUUUGGUUGCUCUUCCACGCUCCCGGCAGCUGACCAGAAUCUCUUGGAGGGUCUCCUGGGCCACCUCGGCCGCGCCAGUCGUGCAGUGAGACUUCUGUAGUUUUAAAAUGCCACAGUCCACGGCCCGGUCGGCACCGCUCGCCUGAAUCGUGGGCUUUGGGAACCUUGGAGGCUGCUGCUCCAGGAACUCGCGGUCGGCCGGGAGCCGGGGAGCUUCGUUGCUGGGAGCGGGCGGUAUUCGCGGACUCCGGCGGCCCUGGCGGGUCGCGGCCGGGAUCCGAGCCGGGGAUGACGAUGCUGAUGGAGCUGAUGGGGCAAGAGUGGGAACGGAGGCACGUACACUGAAAUUUAAGUCAUCCAAGUUGGGACUUAAGAUAGCAGGUUAAUAUUGUCUCAGGCGAGACUUAGAACGUCUUUUCUGGUAUCCCAGUCUGCAGUGGGCAAAUCUAUUGUCUUUAUUUCUCAUUUAAGGGCAGAAUGGAGGGAUGACAUAUUUUUACUUUUCAAGAGGCGGUUGCCACUUUUAAGUCACUGUUGUGUGUGUGUGUGUACAUACACAAACAUACGAUAGUGUGUUUUCAGAGCAAGUAUCAAAGGCUAAAGACUUGGAGUGAUACUAGUGUUUAAAAGCCUUUUUAAAAAAAUUAAGAUGUGAUGAGAAACUGGAGAAUUGACUUUUAAAAAUUUCUUUUCUGUAGAAGAGGCUAUCUUCAAAAUGGAGUCCUAAAGUAUAUCUGAUGGAUAGAAUUUAAAUUCUUAACACUGUAUAUACCCUGUGGUCAAAAGCAUCAACGUAAAACUUGAUGUUUAUCAGAUUACUUAUGUUUCAAUUUUCCUGUGGUUAGAAAAAUUAAGACAGAAGUAAGCUAUUAACGGUAUUUGCUUGUAAGAGUAACGUUAAAGGUUUAAGGAAAGGUUUGUUGAAAUCGAUAUGCAUCACACGAAUCAUUUAUUUUCAAUGUUGUUUUCCAGUUGCAGCAAUCAUUUGUGUUUACAUGACUUUGAAAAAGGGUUUAGUUUAUGUUGAUUUUGACCCUCUUAUUUAAUCUCUAGUGCAGAAGUGCAGCUUUCUGCAGGCUGCGCCUCAAUCGCUAAGUUCCACUCUCCAUCCUCUGCCGCGCUACUCCUGGCAUGUGGAUCACCAAGAUACAAUUUCUGGUCCUGUCUGUUCUUAUUGAUGUCCUUUACAGUUAAUAAAUUUGAUUGCCACUAAUCAGUCUGUAUCUCUUGCAAAAACACCACAUUUAGCAUCCAAGUAGAGUCAGAGUAUGUUUUUUAUGAGAUUGUACUAAAGUAACCUUCUAUUACAUUUCUUAUUACCAUAUUGCAUUUCCUAUAGUGGGCAGCAUAGAGCAGGUGGAUCCUGACAAAGUAAUGUUAGAGAUGUGCUGACAGCUUUACAAUAGAUAUUCUCCAACUAAUUUGACAAGAUAUAAAAUAAAAUGUAGUUCGUAGUUUUCAAGCAUUAAUGGAAAGUGUUCCUAUUAAAAAAUUACCAAUAACAGUGGAAAUUGUUGCAAUCCAAUUUGUAUAGUUUACUGUUUUGAUGACAAAGCGCUUAUGAUGGGAAAAAUGUAGUGUUGCUUUUGUAACUGCAAACGCUGCACGCCGUAAUUAGAGGUUUAUGUUAUUUUAUUUGAAUUUUUCAUUCUUACCAUCAGUUUUCAUAUUAGUCAGGAAAUUGUGAUAAAUUAAAAAUUCCCUCAUUCAACUAAACCUUAAAAAACUGUACCCAGUUUCAAAUCAAGCAUUAUCAGGUGUAUGAUUACAACAGCUGAAAUAAAUUGAGGAAUUGGUAUGCCAACUCAGUGGAGAAAUUUUGGGAUUUUAGGUCACUCUAAGAUUUAAAAAAAUAGUUUGAUUCGUUAAACAAGGCUAUUGAAGUUAAAUUGAUAUUUCCUUAAAGAUGAUUUUAGAGAAAAAUUCCUUGGCGAGCUUCGAGAAUGCGUUCAUGGCUUCUGUUGCCUGUACCUACUGCUAUACUUUUUUAUGUGGACUAAUUUGUCUUAUUUGAAAAUUUGAUUACAAUAUCAAAUCCUAGAUGAAGCCCUUCCAUUCUUAGGGUGAUUCUAAGGAGUACUGAUAACUAAGCUCUUAAAAGGCGAGGAAAUAGUUUAUUCUACUGCAGAUUAGGGUAAUCUUAAUACAGACACUCUGAUGGUAAUUCUAAGCAGUGUUGAUAACUAAGCUUUUAAAAGAUAAGGAAAUAGUUUAUUCUACUUCAGAGUAGGGUAAUUUUAAUGCCCUGAAUAUACUCUGAAUCUUUUAUAGAUAGAUUUCUGGAUGAUUUGGCCCAAAAAAUCUGAUAAGCUUUGGGGAAUUUUUUAAUUUUUUUUUCUCUUAAAGAGAAAUCAGAAAUGUGGGAUUUUUUUAAAAAUUUAUUUUCAGUAGAUAUUGGAGAUUAUGCUUUGUACAUUAAAUCCAGUUUGAUUUUUAAGUGAUAAUUUUCAAUUAAAGACUUUUUAAUAAGACAACUAAAAAAUUAAAUUUUAGUCAAUUACAAUAAUAUUUUUUGGAGAAGCAUUCCCAGAUGUGCUUUUGACGGGGAGUUGAUUUCAUUAGUUGUUUGGGUUGUUUAAUCCAGAAUUUUUAAAACUGUUAUGGGUUUAAUUUGCUACAUUUGUCCAUUCUUAUUCAUUUCAUCUGUUUUGAUCACUGAAAAGUUGUCUAAAAACUGUGCUCAUUAUACACAGUUUAUAGUAUUUUAAUACUUUGUUUAUAGUAUUUAAUAGCUUCUGAAAACUUUAAGAGAACAUACUAAACCAAGGAACUAUUUAUUAAUGGUAAUCUAUAUUUAGUAAUAAAUAUAUUUGUAACUUACUAAAUGUAAGUUUACUAAAUGUAGAUUACUAAAUCACUGAGUAAAUAUUUCUUGAAUAUUUGGACAAGAGAUGGGGGGAGGGAGAAUGACUUGACCCUCAAGAAACUUAACUGCUACCUUUAAAAGGUUAUAAUGAAGCUGGGCACAGUGGUACACACCUGUAGUCCCAGCUACUCAGGAGGCUGAGGCAGGAGGACCCCUUGAGCCGAGGAGUUCGAGGCUCUGUCUCUUAAAACAAAAAAAGUUAUAAAAAUAUUCAGACUGGAGGGUUCCUAACUUUUAAUACUUAAGCAGGGUCUUUACCACAGAGUUAAAUUUAAAAUUCUGUUUAGAAUGGUAACAAAUUUAAUUAUGUACAAAACAGCAUCACUUUAGUGUUAGGAUCAGUGUUACUCAAAGUGUUGUAAUGUUAAUAACAAGCAUUUAAAUCACAUUGUUUGAAAACUGGGAUCUACAAAAAAUAUGAUUCCAAUAAUUAACUUUUUAAUUAUGGGAAAGGCAAGGGAAUGUUCAGUGAAUGUAAAAAAAAUAUACUACUGAGCAAACAAAUUGUUUUAAUGAAUUUUGAUUUUCUGUUUUAAUUUUUUGGUACAUUGACUCUUCUUGACAUGGCACUUUGCUAUUAAUUAAAAAAAAUUAAACCCCAAAGACAAAUUAAUUCUGUAUUUAAUGCAGAUUUAAUUCUUGACUAGCUGUAAUGCUUAAGGAGUUGGCAGUCUUGUUGGCAAAACAAUAAAAUAGGAAUUAAGCUGAAAUGUAAAAUUGUGUAAUAAUUAGGUUUCAUUAAAGUAUAUAUAGUUUCCUUAAUAACUACAUGAGUCAGUAGUGUUGACUUAAUAAUAAGUUAUUUAGCUUUUGCUUUUCUCUGAAAACAUAUCAAACUCUUCAUAUAUAGCAUCGAAAUAGAUAUUCAACCUGAGCCACUGUAAAUUGUUGAAGCUUAUUGCUAUACAUUAAGGGAAAUUCUAUCCAACAGUUCAGUGUAAACAAUUUUUUAAAGGUGCUAUGAUUCUUUAACAUGAUUUGUAGUAUGUAGAACUCAAGUAUUCUAGAAUAAUCUUUGCAUGAUAAUGUAUGAGAAACAUUUAUAAACAGUCCUUCAGGUGUACAAAAUAACUGACAUAAUAUUUUGCAUUUAACUACACUGCCUCCAAGUAUUUUAAACAAAGAUGAAAUUUUUAGAGUAUUGUGCUAUAUUUUUAUAACUGAAUUUCCCUCUUAUUAACAAUACUCAUAACAUUUAGCCAUUAAUGAUUACUGAUAGCUUAAAUAAGAGUGUAGUUUCUGUUUCUAAUGUCUAUUAAUUUUAACCCCAUUUAAAGAUAUUUCCUACUUAUCAUACUCAAAGUUAAUCAGAAGUUAAAUAAAUGAUGGUCCUUCUGGUUCUCUGGAAACUGAAAAGAAGCUUCUGUUUCUUUAGGGUAUGCAGGAAUUUUUUUUCUUCCCAGUGAGCUGAAUCCAUCCUUUACGCUGCUAUUUGCUAACCUCAGUUGUUUUUCUGCUCCAUUAAAGUUGAGGCCACCAAAAAUAGUAGUAAUAUCACAACUACAAAACCCUGGGUGGAUUUGUACCCAUUGCACAUACACUUCUUGCUGCCAAUUCCUAAGAGACUUUUGAAAUAAUAGUAUAUUCCCAGCUGGACAAUAUAUUCUACUUGUGGCCUAUGUAUAGUGUUCAACAAGUCCAGGAGCCCUAUGAAACGGAAUGUGUUUACUGCAUUUUUCUAGGGAGAAGUUCUCAGCAGGCACGGGCAUCUUAAAGACCCUGUGAUGCCCAAAAGGUUAAAGCUCUAUUUGCUAAUGACAGAUAGUAAGUUUGGAGGAUUGCUUCAGGUGCAGCAUUUUAUUUUGUGGGUUGUUGGCCUGUAGGGAAAAACAUUUUGAAAUUGUAGUUAAGGAAUACCACUUCAGUUCAUCAAAUUAAAAAAAUUAUGGCAAAUAAGCAAAAAUCUAUUUCUAAAGAACUACAUACAAUAUAUUCUUACAGAAAAUUUUAGAUUAAAUGCAUGUAACUGUUUUUUUGGUUUGCCAUGUAUUGAAAAUGGAUGGAUGGGGGAUUACAUUAGUUGAUGUAUUUAUUUAUUUAUUUUUGAGGCGGAGUCUCACUCUGUUGCCCAGGCUGGGGUGCAGUAGCGCAGUCUCGGCUCGCAACCUCUGCACCCUAGGCUCAAGCAACACUCGCACCUCCACCUCCUGAAUAGCUAGGACUACAGGUGCACGCACCAUACCACACCUGGCUAAUUUUUGUAUUUUUUUAUAGAGACAGGGGUCUUGCUAUGCUGCCCAGGCUGGUCUUAAACUCCUGAGCUCAAGCAAUCUGCAUGCCCAAGCCAUUGGCCCAUCUUGGCCUUCUAAAGUGCUGGGAUUACAGGCGUGAGUCACCAUGGUCAGCCCAUAUUAAUUUAAAGUAGGCUUCAAAUAUAAUUAUUCACUAAUUGGGAAUGCCUGGGGAUGUAUAUGAAUGUAUUACCGUUUUGUGAGUAGUAGUGUGUGCUUGUGUUCAUGGAUGGCAUUCAUCAGAAUGUUUGCAAUGGUGUAGCCAGGUUACACUGCCAUCUUCCUGUUCUCCUUUGUGCUUACUUGCUCUGCCUGUAUUUGCUGCAGUUUCUAGCGAGUGUAUGUAGGUGUUGGCCCAGAACUUGCUUUUGUAGAGAUCAUACAUUGUGCUAAUUUAUCCCAAAUCAGUUUUUGUGUAUUAUCUGUGGGCCCAAUGUGUAAUUUGAACUUUAAGGAUACUACUUCAGACUGCAGUGUAGCAUAACCUUUAAAAAAAAAAAUGCUAGUUUUGCCCUAAUCUGUGCAUAUUCCAGUUGUUCAAUGGGUAUUAGUAAUACAUGAAUUACUUCUGUGCCCUUUUUGGUGUAGAGUCUCAUAUGAAUAAUUACUGUUAUUUAAAACCCACGACUCCAUGCAUUGUUUUGGUGGGAGAGGGUAGUUUCCCAUCAUGUUUUACAUAUAUGUUAGCAUUCAGAUUUUCCUUUUUAGCCCACUCCCUACUGAACUGAAGGGAAAGGGCGUAUUUGAGAGAAAACAUAUGCUUUACUCAGGUUCCAAUAAUUAAGCCAAUGCACUUGAUUUAAGUUAUACAUUUAGCUCAUUCUUAAAGUGUAAUAAAGACUUUAAGCCUCCUGGCUCCCAAAUCAGUGCUUUUUCUACUAAACAUUCUUUCUGUCUUGCUAAAAAAAUCCAAUUUUCAGAAUCAAGUUAGUUGCUAAGCAAAUAUGCAUAAAACCAUACAUUUAUCUGAAUUGUUUCUAAUUUAAGGAGUAGUAUAUAAAAGUUUCAACAGAAAUCAUUGAUUAGUAAAAGUGAUGGAAAAUCAGCAAAAUAAAAAUAGAAUUAGAGUAGGCUAAAAGGCCCUUCUUUAGGGUAAUCGGAAAACUGAGUUCAAAUAUAGGGUCUGGGACUUCUCAGGUGAUAUUUUAUCUUAAAUUAGAAUCUGCAUGAGGUAGGGUGGGGCCACUCAUGCCUAUAAUCUCAGCACUUUGAGAGGCCGAGGCAGGAGCGUCCCUUGAGACCAGGAGUUCGAGACCAGCCUGAGCAACAUAGCAAGACCUUCUCUCUAUUUUUAAAAAACUAAAAUUGGAUUUAAAUAAAGAAUCUGCAUGAACUUUCUUGUCACUUAUUCUUACAUAUUAUUUGCCAGUGUGCGAUACUUAAUAACCAAGUAAGACACUUGAAAUGAGUCUUUUAAGGCUACAACUUAGGUAACAUUUUAUAAAUAUUACUGCUACAUACAUAAUACAGUAACUUUUUUUAGCCUCACAAUAAUACCUUGUACAAUUUAUAACUGCUAAAGGGCCUAUAGAAGGCUACCCACCUAUGUAAAAAAAAAAAAAAAAAAAAAAAGGUCCUAGCUCUGUCUGGUGUAGCUUGGCAAAUUAUUUUUGAUAUGAAUUGCCAGGAAUAUAGGGGUAUCAUUCCUUGCUGAUAAGAGCACAUACCCUUCCUUUGCUGGCUAAGCUAUGUGAUUCUGUAGGACCUUAGUGUCAUGGCCAUCCUUUCAGUAGUAAGCAGAUUUAGAGAAGUUGUCCCAUUGUUACCUUAUUUCAAUAGUUUUUGGUCUUUCUAUAUUGUGCAUAACCUCACUUAAUCAGAUUGUUAUGACUGUUUCCCCCCAGGAAGUAUAGGAAGAUAAAAAAAAAAAAAAGCCAGGCCAGAUAUAUAUGACUGAACGUGAGCUCAGCAAAUGAUAUAGGUGUCUUAAACAUACUUUCUUUUUUUUUUUUUUAAAGGGAGGGGUUCUGGCUCUGUCACCCAGGCUGGAGUCCAGUGGCUCAAUCAUGGCUCACUGCAGCCUUGACCUUCCCAGGCUCAAGCGAUCCUCCUGCCUCAGCCUUCUGAGUAGCUGAGACUACAGGCAUGCAGCCCCACACCCAGUUAAUUUUUUUAUUUUUAUUUUUGUGGAGACACCGUCUUGCUGUGUUGCCUAGGCUGGUCUUGAACUCCUGAGCUCAACCAGUCCUCUCACCUUGGCCUCCCAAAAUGCUGGGAUUACAAGCAUGAGCCAGGGCACUUGGUCCAUAUUUUGUUUCUUAAAGUCACAAGUUAAAGCUGGAGGUUUCACCCAGAAUCAAAGUGCCAGGUAGCAUUUUAGUCCAGCCUAGGAUAAGCAGCUGAGUUUCCAUGAACACAGUACAAGAAUUCAGGGAUAUCACUUGCUAAAUGUAAACCAGUUACCUCCGUAAUUUCCCAAAAAUUUUAUUGUGACAAACGAGUGCCAUACUCUGAACAUUAAAGGCUUUUACCUCCAGCUGUCCAAACAUUGUGCAUGUUAUUCGGGUAGAGGCACUGGUAUGGUAGGAGUUUCUCCUUUAGUGUCUUGUAAUUGACAACAGAUCCAGCAUUUAUGGAAUGUAUUGUUAUUGUAACUUUUGAGUUUCCAUAGCCAAGAACGUAAGAGUAAUAACUAGGUAUAGUCCAUUAUUUUUAGUAAAGUUAGUUUUAGUUAGCCUUUGAUGGUAGACACUUCUCAGGUUAUAAUUCAGACUCAAUAACAAAGCCAGAAAGUUCAGGAAGGGUAGGGUAGUGCUGUGGUCUGAAUGUUGAAAUCCUAACUAUCAAGGCAUUAGGAAAUGGAACCUCUAAAAGGUGAUUAGAUCAUGAGGGCAGAACCCUAAUGAAUUAGUACCCUUAUAAAAGAGACCCCAGAGAACUGGUUUGCCCCUUCUGCCUUGUGAGGUUACAGCAAAAAGACCAUCAUAUAGGAAGCAGGACCUCACCAGACACCAAAUCUGCCAACGCCUUAAUCUUCGACUUCCCAGACUCCAGAACUGAGAGAUAUAAAUUUAUUAAGUUUAUAAGCUACCCAGUCUUUGGUAUUUUGUUAUAACAGCCCAAACUAAGGUAACAAGAAGCAAUCCUCACAGUGCUUGCUUAAUGUCAUGCACCUGUCAUUCUAGUGGUGCUCAUUUGCCAGUCUUUUUUUUUUAUGAAAGAAAUUAGCAGUCCUGCUUUCUCUUGUUUUGAGUGACAGGUCUCAGGUAAGGAUUUAUUUUCCAGAAAGAAAGUGACUAAAUAGAUUCCCUCCAGAAAGAUUUUCAGAUCAGUAGAUCUGCCUUAAACUAAUGUAGUCUUUGGACCCAGUUCAGAAGUGGCCAAGGCCAAUCCUCAAUGCAUGAAAGUAAAAGUUAGACUGUAUUUAAGGGAGACAAAUUACUAGUUAGGAACCAUCGAAUGAGGUCAGAGGCAAGACCUUACUAACAGAUGGGCAAGUUAAAUGCUAUCUUCUGAAAAUUUUAGUUGCUUCAUGAUGGACUCAUUUGGAGCAUAUCUGGAAAGUUUUUUGGACAUGUCUAAAACACGGGGUUGAAUUUUCCUUACAAGCCAGGGUUAGGACAGGAGGUCGACCUGCUGUCUAGAUAGUCUCAGCACUACCAGAAGCUAUUUGUAAGCUGUACUACUAGUCUGGUGACUCAAGUAGGAAGUGUCCAGGAACCUUUCUUCUAGACACUGCGAGAAACCAAAGAUUAGUAAUAAGAAAUUGUUUGAUAGACAAGAUGAACAUCUUAAAGCAUAGAUUCAAGACAGAGGACCUUUGUACCUGACAAGUACUCAGGAAGACUUGAAAAGGGCCCCCGCAGGUGAGUUUCAGGCUCUGUCUUCCACUCAUGAACCUGCAAAAUCCAAUCCUUGCUGCUGAAGAUUUCUUAAGAAAAAUGAACAGUGUACCUGGCCACUUCAGUGUCUUUAGAAUCCCAUCUUGGUGUUAUACUUUGCCUAUUGAUUCUAGAUGGAGAGGUAUCAAAUGCUUUACAAAAUCUCAAGGAGUUAUAAACUACUUUUACAAUCUGUGUUAUAAAGUGUAUUCCCUGGUUAUUAUAAAUAGGCAAAAUGCUAUUCCAAAUCUAACAAUAAAGACUUUUGCCAAUACUCAUUGUUUCAGCUUUCAAAUAUGUUAAGUAUGUUUUCUACCCAUCCUACAAAAGUAUACAUAAUCACUAAAACUUAUGAACAACACAUAUAUGAUAUUAACCUGAAUAUUUACAGAGAGCUCCCCGGAGGGAUGAUUUUAUUUAUUAUGUUAAUUCUCUAUUUGUUUAGUUUGUGACCUGAUCUUAAUAGUAACAAGUGAAUGAGUUAGCAGAGGAAAUCAGUUAAUAAAUAUAAGAGCAACAAUGCCUGUGAAGAAGUCACCACAUGGGCCAGGCACAGUGGCUCAUGCCUACGUCUGUAUAAUCCUAGCACUUUGGUAGGCUCAGGUGGGAAGAUCCCUUGAACCCAGGAGUUUGAGACCAGCCUGAGCAACAUAGCAAGACCUUAUCUCUACUAAGAAUAAAAUUAAAAAUAAAAACAUGAAGAAAUCACCACAGCCUUAGUUUAGUAACGAUAACAGUAUUUUGUAAUAUCCACAGCAGAGGAGACUAAGGACUAGAUAUUUUAGCUCCUCCAGAAGCGAGGAAUGUUUAUUGUUUUUACAAUUGUCUACAAUCAAGAACUACCCAAAAGCUUGAGGAGCAUCAGUCAUUUAUGACUUUUCAGAAGUUAAAGUAUCAUCUCAGGUGAGGACAGCACUUUCUGCCACCUAGGAAGAAUAUGGAGAAAGCAAAAUUUUUUACUACUUUGUCUUAAGAACAGACUGCAUGUCUAGAAGCCAAUUUGGUUUUUUUCUCCAAGCUGCCAGUUCCCUCUUCAAUAUUAUACAGUGUUUUGUUUUGGUCAUAGCACCAAUUACUAAUUUAAAUGAGAUUUAACGAAACUCUUUCAAUAAUAAAUAAUACAUAACAAAAUACGUGUGUGACCAUAUAUUUGCAAGAAAGGGGUUGUGCCAUGAAUCUUUUUUUCUCAGUUUAACAAAUAAAUUUGCAAAGGCAACUUUCAGGAAUCAGAAUGUUAUUUUAAAUAUUAUUAACAAGACAACAAAUUAUUCAGACAACUAAUCAGAAUUAUAGACUUUAAACUUACGUUAUUUUUCACAGAAUAUAGCAACACUGAAAUCCAGGCGUCCAGGAAGACUAUUUUACUUGAAAUAAUAUUUUUAAACCCAGUUUUAUGAUAUAGAAUAGAAUUCUAUUUGCUUUUCUGCAGCUUUAGGGAAGAGGGGACAUUUUCCCCUUUUGAUAUUGCUGGUUUUUUUUUUUUAUUUUAAGAAAACAGCAAUUAGAAGUGUCUAAAUAUCAGAUUUCCAUUAGCUAGCAUCAAGAGAGAAGAGUAGGUACAAACUUAAAAUUCAGAAAAGGACAGAAAGGGCCAGGCAUACUGGCUCAUCCCUGUAAUCCCAAACUUGGGGAGGCUGAGGUAGGAGGAUUGCUUGAGGCCAGGAGUUCAAGACCAGCCUGAGUGACGAAGCAAGAUCCCGAUCUCUACGGAAAGAUCAGCCAUUCCUGGUGGCUCGCAGCUGUAGUCCCAGCUACUCAGUAGACUGAGGCGGGAGGAUUGCUUGAGCCCAGGAGUUCAGGGCUACAGUGAGCUGUGAUGGCACCACUGCACUCCAGCUUGGAUGACACAGCAAGGCCCUGUAUCAGAAAAUAAAGAGAAAAAGGACAGAAAGAUAAUGCUAACAAAUGGAAUAUGGAGCAUAUAAUGUCUUGCCUCUACAUGUAAUUAAGAAUAGAAGUAAAAUUUAUCUCAGAUUAAGAUUUUUUUUGAAACAAUCUCAACAGUCUAUAUUCAGAUAAGACAGAUUUUAAUAAAAUUAUAUAUGUCAGUCAUCUGUUUCAAAAAUUUCAGGGCUAUUUUUAGUCUUUAUCAAGCAUAACUUACAGUUAUAGAUAGUUGUGGUUUUAGAAGCUAUUCUAUUUGUUAUUCCCUCUGUAUCCCUUAAUCCCAUGCCUCAAAUUAUUUCAGAAUACUUUCCCAAUAAAUGUACUAACUUGUUCUUUUGUAUUCCAAAAAUGUGAAAGGUGUUAAAAGUUUGUGUUUUCAGUGCCUUUGGAAACACUUAAAAACGCAUCUUUGAAAUUGUGUGUCCAAACCAGUAUUUCCCAAAAUGUGCCAUGAUCUGUUUAUAGGUGUUGAGUUAAAUAUAUGUAUACACACAUAUAUUAUAUACACAUAUAUA